Ictalurus punctatus (channel catfish) is the source of this 1258-nucleotide long non-coding RNA. NCBI's taxonomy places the organism in Eukaryota, Metazoa, Chordata, Actinopteri, Siluriformes, Ictaluridae. The record is from Ensembl.
GCAGCCUUUUUGGCUUGUGCUCCUGCCUUCAUUGCCCUUUUGUGCGCCCUGCUUAAUAUAGCCCUUAACCGUGCUCCUUUAAUAGCUCCAGUCUUUUAUGUGCAGGCAAAUAGGACUGGGUUUGGAAAGGAGACAGGAGAGACGUUUGUCCAAUCGCGUUCUUCCCGCUGUAAUUUUAUGUCCGUGCCCUUUAAGUCAUACCAGAAACGCAAAUGGAUGUUUGAAAUUUACUCUUUGUGGUAGCAGACAAAAGGCCCCGUCCCUCACAAUGCACACUUCCCUGUCACGAGAAGCACUAAAAGCGAGUUCGGCCAUAUCCGAUGCACAGGUGACUUUGCACACAUCAAGCAUAGGUCACCGGAGCCUGAGCGCUACCUGUGUAAAUCAUGGCACAAAAGGCUUGCAAUCCCAACAUUCAAGAGGUGGCACAAAGGGAAUUAUGGCACUAUGGGAAGUAUAGUUUCCAGCACAGUGAAGCAUCGACAAAGACUUCUUAAGCAAAAUGGCCCGAGGACAAAUCAUAUGACACUCUACGACAGGAAAUCUCUAAAUCGCCUAUUGUCCAGCACCACAUCAAAAUCCUACACACACACGGUAUAAGGAGGCAGGCAGAGUUUCAGGCCGCGUUCCUCAUUCCACUGACGUGAGAAACCAUUACUGAUAAAAACAAGUUUCCUGAACCUUUUGAUCAGAAGAAUGACACGUGAAUGCAUUUUUUAUUUUUUUAUUUUUAUUUUAAACAGCAGGAGUUUUCAGGGUCUGAAUAGCGAGAUCAUUUGUGUAAAACUAUUAAUAGCAGCACAAGUGUGCCAUCAGGGUAUGUUUAACUACUGAUUUGAAAGAUACGUUAUAAUAUUAAGAGUAGGAUCUGCUCCGAGGACUGCAAACAGGUAAAGGAAUAUUGCAGCCUUUUUAAAAUCUUUUUUUUCUUUCUUUCUCUCCAGCAACAGAGCAAGUGUUUACUCUAAAUUGAGUAAAUUGGCUAAUGUUAGCCAAAGGGCCGCUGUUGAUUCUGCUGACUGUAGACAGAACUACUGACCUGAGAAUUCGGCGGCACUGUGGUGUAACGUGCCUACUGGUCAUGAAAGAAGGUGAAUGCACUAUCAGUGAUUACUGACAGUGCAGGUGAAGCUGCGAGACGUCCUCAUGAAAGCGGAUACAUAUAUGUCCUGUUUUACAUCCUGGUUUUGUAGCAUUCCCAUGCUCAGAAGUUCCCAUAUUUACCCUGCAAGGAAAACAUUUAUUUAUGCAGUAUGAG